This 685-nucleotide long non-coding RNA is filed under the name Monodelphis domestica (gray short-tailed opossum). Its description in RNAcentral is "lncRNA (ENSMODG00000030911.2)". Lineage: Eukaryota; Metazoa; Chordata; Mammalia; Didelphimorphia; Didelphidae. The record is from RNAcentral.
UUACUCUGUAUAAUGUUCUCCCGAUUCUACUCACUUCAGUCUAUAUCAGUUCAUGUAUUUCAAGGUCUUUCUGAAAUCAACUUACUCAUGGUUUCAUAUACCACUAUAGUAGUAGUCUCUUGGUAAUCGAGGAUGACGAUUGUCUUUGUGCACUUUCAUCUGUGAUGUAGAUGAGUAUACACAAAGACUCUUGUGUGUGAAGGAGAUUUAAGUGGAAAAGUCGAUGCACAGAGACAGUCCCACUCUCUCGGCUUUGGAAGCCUGGGUCCAGUGGCACAAAAAGUCGUUACACCUGGAGACUUCCUCAGCUGCAUUGGAUGGCCGCGUUGUCUUUUGUGCUCCAACACGCCCUAAGCACUCCACAGUGCUUUGCUGCAUCGCCAUCUCAGCCAUUGAACCUUCUUAUUGGUUUCUUCCGUCUGUUCGGCCUAAACAGUCUUCACAUGCUGGGAAAGGGGAAAAAAAGAACCAUUACACAGGGCCAAGAAGCAGAAGAUCAAGGAGACCAACCAAUCCCAAUGGGGUUGAUGAAAAUCUGCACAGUGCCAAGGAGCACAAGCUAAAAAAGGACUAAACCAAUCCAGGAAGAGGGAUGUCUCAAGGAUGCCAAAAGGCCCUUUUCUUCCCCACCACCUGGUUGGAUCACUGUAGUUCAAAAAUGGCACCUAGAGCUUCCUGAUUUCAU